UUAAAUGAAUUGAUUUAUAUUUUUUAAUAGCUAUAUAUAGCUAUUUUUGCUUGAUCGUAGACACACACAACAACAAACACACAAGCACAUAAGCAUCACAUUCCAGGAAGCCUAGUACUAGCGUCAUGAUCAUCACUAUAUUGUGUUGAUUUAGUGUUUAGCCAACUAUUUCUAGGGAAAUAUAUUGUUUUGCAUCCUUCUUCGAGUCAUUAAUUAAAGGGGAGGCCAGGGAGAAGUAUUAGACAAGAAUAAUUAAUUCGUGGUUAAUGAAAGCAUUACGUUAAAAAUGUUCGAUGGCAGUUAAUCAUUUGGAAAAUGAAGCAGGAAAUUUUAUAAAGAUUACAUUCCCCCGGCCGCCCCUAAUUGAUUAUUUUACUAAUGACUCACGUUAGAUCGGGCUGGGUCCGUGCCGGGUCCGGGCCGGAGCUUCCGGCGCUUCGUUGGAUGGAAAGCUUCACGUGAUCACCGUUCAUCUGUCAUAGAAAAGUAAGCUCCCAAAGGUCCUGCCCGGUCUAACGUUAGAUCCUUAAAUUCGAAAUAAUAUUGGAAUUUAUAUCCUAAGAGACUGAAAUGAGUGUUCUAAAGUAAAUUUCAAGGAUGUAUCUUAUUUAACGGUUUUUGAUACGUAUUUUUUCGCUUCAUUGACGGAUCGUUUAACAUUUUGUAUGUUCCGCUGAACUUAGGACAUUCGCGUAUACAAUUUUACAGUAGAACUAACUUCGAACGAGUUCUUCAAAUUACCCAGUUUCUAACCAAAAAAAGAAUUUGUGCUAACUAAAUAUCUAAAAUAUUGUUUCUAUUUCGUUUUCUGAGGCACGUAGUGCCAGAGCCAAGUUCAGUGUCUAAGUUUCCUUUAGAACGCUACGGAAAUGAUAAAUUGUUUAUCUGUUUCACUCGGGUCCAAUGUUUCGGUGAAAACAUUCGACUUUCGAAUAUUUAGUGCAUGCCUUCACAAACAUGCAAUAUUCACAAUCGAACACAGUGAAUUGAGAAGGCAUGCAAAAUGUUCUACUUUAUCCCUAAACGAAAUAUAUAUAUGCUUUAAGCAAGAAUAAAGUCUUGUUUGUAAAUGAGUAAUACUCAUCGUUAGUUAUAGAUAACAUAAAUCGCAUUUUAAAAUAUCUCUAUAGUGAAUAUUCAAUUCAAAAAGGGUUGCCGUGAUUUUAUUAGGGAAUGACAGACACCGAAGUGUGUCUGGAAGAGGCAUAUGAAUGUUUAUUUAAGUAUUCCAUACUCUAUGAUACGUUCGUCGAUGUGUUAGGUUAAGGAUAGUGUUACAGUACUAUAAUAUCUACAUUACAUUAGACGGUAAAUUAUUUAUUUCAAGCAUAGCUUCAGCUCAGAAUCUUGUGCUUGGAAAUUGUUGCCAAAGAUAUUUUAUAUAUUUUUAAGCGUCUUUAGUUAUUCGCAUAUUAUACUGUGGGUGCUGCAAUAAUUGAAUUGACAGUGAUGCAGGCAGUUUUACAGUUAUAUUUUACUAAUAUUUUCUCUGAUUUAUCGUUAGCCGCUUUAAAGUGGGCAACCGUGCCAAAAGUCAAAACCGCGACGGCGGCGGAGCUAGGCCACCCGCCAUCUCUUACUUAAGCUUCCAUAUUAAAUUGUAAAAAUAGCUUACUGUUCUUUGGCUGUUGAGGAAUAAAGCCAAACAGUUGAUGAUAAUAAAUGAUGAAUAUUCGCUAUUAGCGUCGCGUCAAAUUAUCAAUUUUCGAUAAACGUUAUAACAUUCCGCCGUGGCUUCGUAUUGUAUGAUUAUACCGUCAAUGGAAUAAAUAAUAUGUGAAACGCAUAAAUUAAUGUUUAGUAUUAUAAACAAUGUAUCAUUGUGUACAAUAAAUGUUGUGUUAACCAUUGAAAAAAAAUCUGUUCAUACAUAUAUAUGUAUUUAUGUAUCCUAAAACUAACAUUCAGACUAGAGGUUCCUUUAAGUACACGCCCUACCAACACCCUAGCCCUACCCCCUCUAUUCACUGUGAUAAAAUAAUUGUAAGAUUAAAGCAAAACAAUGAUAUGUAUUAAUAACAUUACUGUUUACGAAAAAAUAUUCCCACAUUUGUUUGUUCUGAAUUCUAAAAAAGUUAUUGUUUUCUACAUGUGUAUCACAGUGAAUAAUUUUCAUAUUCAAACCUGGUAUAUAAUUAUUGAUCAUUCGCUAAUAACACUCCAUCAAAACCAUUGUAAAUAUCAUUUAUGGGCUGAUUUUAUUUAUUAAAUAUUUUUAAACCAAUCUCAAGCGACACAGGCCCUACAUCUAAAUUUUAAUAUUAUUGUUUUUAAUAUUUAUCAUUACAUUGAAAUGUUUUAUAUUGAUAUAUUUUAAUUUAAUUACGACUGUGCUGUUUUAUAUCUCAUAUAUUUUAUACCAAUGUCUCUAAAUAAAAUGUGGACGGAAA
This is a long non-coding RNA of Cydia strobilella, 2390 nucleotides long. RefSeq lists it as uncharacterized. The record is from RefSeq and is a predicted model, not a curated record. The transcript is spliced from 2 exons. Lineage: Eukaryota; Metazoa; Arthropoda; Insecta; Lepidoptera; Tortricidae.